RNAcentral lists this ribosomal RNA (492 nucleotides) under uncultured bacterium. Its description in RNAcentral is "partial 16S ribosomal RNA". It matches the Rfam family "Bacterial small subunit ribosomal RNA", at positions 29 to 507 of the family's 1533-position model. The record is from RNAcentral.
AGUGAACGCUGGCGGUAGGCCUAACACAUGCAAGUCGAACGGCAGCACAGUAAGAGCUUGCUCUUACGGGUGGCGAGUGGCGGACGGGUGAGGAAUACAUCGGAAUCUACUUUUUCGUGGGGGAUAACGUAGGGAAACUUACGCUAAUACCGCAUACGACCUACGGGUGAAAGCAGGGGAUCUUCGGACCUUGCGCGAUUGAAUGAGCCGAUGUCGGAUUAGCUAGUUGGCGGGGUAAAGGCCCACCAAGGCGACGAUCCGUAGCUGGUCUGAGAGGAUGAUCAGCCACACUGGAACUGAGACACGGUCCAGACUCCUACGGGAGGCAGCAGUGGGGAAUAUUGGACAAUGGGCGCAAGACUGAUCAAGCCAUACCGCGUGGGUGAAGAAGGCCUUCGGGUUGUAAAGCCCUUUUGUUGGGAAAGAAAAGCAGCAGGUUAAUACCCCGCUGUUCUGACGGUACCCAAAGAAUAAGCACCGGCUAACUUCGUG